Molecule: ribosomal RNA, 450 nt
Filed under: uncultured marine crenarchaeote
Lineage: Archaea; Thermoproteati; Thermoproteota
Description: bacterial SSU rRNA
Rfam family: Archaeal small subunit ribosomal RNA
Source: RNAcentral
GAGAAUAAGGGGGGGGCCAAGUCUGGUUUCAGCCCGCCCGCGGUAAUACCAGCUCCUCGAGUGGUUUAGGACGUUUAUUGGGCCUAAAGCAUCCCGUAGCCCGGUUUUAUUGGUCUUCUAUUAAAUCUAAUAGCUUAACUAUUUGACUGUAGGGGAUACCAUAAGACUAGGAGGCGGGAGAGGCGGACGGUAUUUUGUGGGUAGGGGUAAAAUCCUUUGAUCCAUAGAGGACCACCAGUGGCGAAGGCGGUCCGCCAGAACGCGCUCGACGGUGAGGGAUGAAAGCUGGGGGAGCGAACCGGAUUAGAAUCCCGGGUAGUCCCAGCUGUAACCGAUGCAAGCUAGGUGGAUGGGAUGAUUUAAGUCAUCCCUGUGCCGCAGGGAAGCCGUUAAGCUUGCCGCCUGGGGAGUACGGUCGCAAGACUGAAACUUAAAGGAAUAGGCGGGGGA